Molecule: long non-coding RNA, 583 nt
Organism: Cynoglossus semilaevis (tongue sole)
Lineage: Eukaryota; Metazoa; Chordata; Actinopteri; Pleuronectiformes; Cynoglossidae
Exons: 3
Source: RefSeq, a predicted model, not a curated record
ACUAGUUUUGCUGACUUUAACUCAUGCUAGUGCUAAUCUGGCAAUUGUUUAGCUAGCAUGUGAUACCUCAUGAACUGACUACUAUUUUCAUGGUAGAUGUUUUUCCUGUAUUUUAGCUGUAAUUGGCGUAUUCGCCCUGGGAGAUCAAAACAGGGAGAAUGACUGGAACAUUGAAGACAAGCUAAGGAGGUUAAGAAUGAUCUGGCACAGAGGGGACUGAUAUACUAGAGGAACGAUUGGUUGGUGCAAGGGCAAAUUCCAUCUUAAAUUCUUCUACAGUUGCAGAAACAGAGAGCAACCAUCACACAUUAAGGAACAACUCUGUCCGUUUCGUUUCAUGUGUUUAGCGUUUGAUUCCCCCCCGCCCCCCCUGUUUUCAGGGCCAAUAGACUGACCUUAUUUAGUUACCACCCACUUCUGACAAUUACUGUAUAUAAAGGUGUUUCAACAGACUGUUUGUUAAUGUAACGGCCAUGGUCAAUGUCACAGGAAAAUGCUGUUCAAAUUGAAUUUACUUCUGCUGCUCACUGUCAGAUGUCACACUGCAGAUCUGAUCUUUGAGACAGAAACUGUUGUCGUUGGA